GUGGGUAUAGCUCAGUGGUAGAGUGCACACCUACCAUGCACAAGGUCCUGGGUUCAAUCCCCAGCACCUCCA
Molecule: transfer RNA, 72 nt
Filed under: Camelus bactrianus (Bactrian camel)
Lineage: Eukaryota; Metazoa; Chordata; Mammalia; Artiodactyla; Camelidae
Also listed under: 2 other names
Rfam family: tRNA
About the family: Transfer RNA (tRNA) molecules are approximately 80 nucleotides in length. Their secondary structure includes four short double-helical elements and three loops (D, anti-codon, and T loops).
Source: Rfam by way of RNAcentral